Non-coding RNA from Danio rerio (zebrafish), 117 nucleotides. The record is from Rfam. NCBI's taxonomy places the organism in Eukaryota, Metazoa, Chordata, Actinopteri, Cypriniformes, Danionidae.
UACCACAGCCAUAUCACCCUACAGCCCAAGACCUGUUACUUACUGAAGCUAAGCAGGGCUGAGCCUGGUCAGUACCUGGAUGGGAGACCACUAGGGAACACUAGGUUGCUGUUGGAA